This 66-nucleotide transfer RNA is filed under the name Cardiocondyla obscurior. RNAcentral describes it as "tRNA-Gly". The record is from RNAcentral. Lineage: Eukaryota; Metazoa; Arthropoda; Insecta; Hymenoptera; Formicidae.
AUUUAUAUAGUAUAACUAUUACAUUUAAUUUCCAAUUAAAAAAUUUAUUUAAAUAUAAUAUAAAUA